UACAGUAUAUGGGCUGCCACUAAUUCUA
Molecule: small RNA, 28 nt
Filed under: Bombyx mori (domestic silkworm)
Lineage: Eukaryota; Metazoa; Arthropoda; Insecta; Lepidoptera; Bombycidae
Description: ovarian small RNA-5955
Source: RNAcentral